RNAcentral lists this ribosomal RNA (494 nucleotides) under uncultured bacterium. Its description in RNAcentral is "partial 16S ribosomal RNA". It matches the Rfam family "Bacterial small subunit ribosomal RNA", at positions 28 to 507 of the family's 1533-position model. The record is from RNAcentral.
GACGAACGCUGGCGGCGUGCUUAACACAUGCAAGUCGAACGGAAAGGCCUGCUUUCCCUUGUGGAUUGCGGGUACUCGAGUGGCGAACGGGUGAGUAACACGUGAGUGAUCUGCCCCCAACUUGGGUAUAAGCCUGGGAAACUGGGUCUAAUUCCCGAUAGGACUGCAGGGUGGUGCCUGUGGUGGAAAACGAUUUUCUAGUGGUUGGGGAUGAGCUCGCGGCCUAUCAGCUUGUUGGUGGGGUAAUGGCCUACCAAGGCGGCGACGGGUAGCCGGCCUGAGAUGGUGGACGGCCACAUUGGGACUGAGAUACGGCCCAGACUACUACGGGCGGCAGCCGUGGGGAAUAUUGCACAAUGGGCGGAAGCCUGAUGCAGCGACGCCGCGUGGGGGAUGACGGCCUUCGGGUUGUAAACUCCUUUCGACCGCGAGGAAGCCACCUGGUUGGAAGGGUGGUGACGGUAGUGGUAGAAGAAGCACCGGCUAACUACGUG